GACGAACGCUGGCGGCGUGCCUAAUACAUGCAAGUAGAACGCUGAAGGAGGAGCUUGCUUCGCUGGAUGAGUUGCGAACGGGUGAGUAACGCGUAGGUAACCUGCCUGGUAGCGGGGGAUAACUAUUGGAGACGAUAGCUAAUACAGAAGAAGAGUAGAUGUAGCAUGACAUUUGUUGAAAAGGUGCAAUUGCGACACUACCAGAUGGACUUGCGUUGUAUUAGGGAGAUGGGGAGGUAACGGCGCACCCAGGCAACGAUACAUAGCCGACGAGAGAGGGUUGUCGGCCACCCUUGGACUUGGACACCGCCCCGACUCCUACCGGAGGCAGCAGUAGGGAAUCUUCGGCCAUGGACGGAAGUCUGACCGAGCCACGCCGCGUUAGGUAAGAAGGGUCUCGGAUCUGAAAGCUCCGUUGUAAGAGAAGAACGAGUGUGAGGGUGGAACGUUCACACUGUGACGGUACCUUAACAGAAAGGGACGGCUAACUACGUG
RNAcentral lists this ribosomal RNA (495 nucleotides) under uncultured bacterium. Its description in RNAcentral is "partial 16S ribosomal RNA". It matches the Rfam family "Bacterial small subunit ribosomal RNA", at positions 28 to 507 of the family's 1533-position model. The record is from RNAcentral.